Molecule: microRNA precursor, 118 nt
Filed under: Hordeum vulgare
Lineage: Eukaryota; Viridiplantae; Streptophyta; Magnoliopsida; Poales; Poaceae
Description: microRNA MIR1122
Rfam family: MIR1120/MIR1122 microRNA precursor family
Source: RNAcentral
UGUAUACUUCCUCCGUCUCAAAAUUCUUGUCUUAAAUUUGUCUAUAUAUGAAUGUAUCUAGUCACGUUUUAGUAUUUACAUACAUCCAUUUUUAGACAAAUUUAAGACAAGAAUUUUA